Molecule: non-coding RNA, 23 nt
Filed under: Arabidopsis thaliana (thale cress)
Lineage: Eukaryota; Viridiplantae; Streptophyta; Magnoliopsida; Brassicales; Brassicaceae
Source: RNAcentral
CCCUUAUCUACACAAUCACCAUC